Molecule: ribosomal RNA, 273 nt
Filed under: uncultured Methanosarcina sp.
Lineage: Archaea; Methanobacteriati; Methanobacteriota; Methanomicrobia; Methanosarcinales; Methanosarcinaceae
Description: partial 16S ribosomal RNA
Rfam family: Archaeal small subunit ribosomal RNA
Source: RNAcentral
GGCCCUACGGGGCGCAGCAGGCGCGAAAACUUUACAAUGCGGGAAACCGUGAUAAGGGGACACCGAGUGCCAGCAUCAUAUGCUGGCUGUCCAGGUGUGUAAAAUACACCUGUUAGCAAGGGCCGGGCAAGACCGGUGCCAGCCGCCGCGGUAACACCGGCGGCCCGAGUGGUAAUCGUGAUUAUUGGGUCUAAAGGGUCCGUAGCCGGUUUGGUCAGUCCUCCGGGAAAUCUGAUAGCUCAACUAUUAGGCUUUCGGCGGAUACUGCCAGAC